RNAcentral lists this non-coding RNA (23 nucleotides) under Mus musculus (house mouse). The record is from RNAcentral. Lineage: Eukaryota; Metazoa; Chordata; Mammalia; Rodentia; Muridae.
UGAGACAGUACAUGGACAAGAUU